Molecule: long non-coding RNA, 1413 nt
Organism: Pongo pygmaeus (Bornean orangutan)
Lineage: Eukaryota; Metazoa; Chordata; Mammalia; Primates; Hominidae
Exons: 4
Source: RefSeq, a predicted model, not a curated record
GGGACUCAGCACUGGGGGAACCCGGAGUUUCAGCCAGGGUCCCAGGGCUUCCUUCCCGGGUUCCUGACGGAAAACUUUUCUCCUCCGCCCGGAAGCCUCGAUGGGGCAGUGAGAACGCGGGGCGAGCCUGUCCUGCUCCGGCCUGCCCUGUGCUCAGGAAGCUGGUGGUCCCCCUCAGUGGAUCUUCACCCACAGGGACACCUGCUGCAGACCAGGAACAUAAAGAGGAAAUGCUCCUUUUUCCCUGGUGGAUGUUGCAUUCCCUGUCUGGAUGCAAUGCCUGGUGCUCCGCAGUCCUUUGCACCCACGAGAGAAGGUGGCCGGAAGAGCAUCUUCACCCUGGGGUGGCCGCCUGGGAAGAUGAGAAGAGCAGAAGUCCUUGGUGGCACAAUCAGGCAAUUCACCAAAAUCCUGCUGCCCUCACCUGGAAUUUCCUGCUAUGAGAGACAUCUCCGUUUAAACCACAUGAGCUGGAUUUUCUGUUUCUAACACAUGUCAGCAUCUUCACGUGAGUUCAAAAGUGAAACGAAUGCCAAAAACUCCAGGGCCUGCAAGUUUCUUCCUUCACAUCCAAGCAGAAGGAGAGACUUCACAGUGAUGGACCAGCUAAGUCAUAUGGCCACUCCUGCCCAGUCUGUCACGCGAGUAGCAGAGUCCCUGAGAUGAUCGGCUUAGGCCCGAGGUCGGUGCACAUCACCAAACUGGUAAGUGUCCAAGGGGAAUGAAAUUGUCUUCGCCUCAAGUAACCAGGACCUACCCCUGACCCACUGCGAGCACAGCUGCUUCACAGUGCUGGAGGGAUGGGAUGAAUGAGGAGGAAGCAACAGCUAGGAGGCCAACCUCAAGACUUGAAAUUGUGGGUUUGCAAAUGGGUGCUUCAGGUGACACCCUGGCCACACCCUCACCUACACACAGACUCAUAAACACCUAUCCUGCAUUCCUCCCUCCACCUUUCUUUCCAAAGAAAUCUUGGAUUCUUUGGCCCCUAAGUGAAAAAAACUGGGGGGAAAUAAGGGAGUGGGGACAAAAAAAUGAGGUCUUCCUGUAAAGACAGUUCAGAAGAAUUAUUGCACCGAAACCUGAAAUGACAAACCUAAAGCCAGAGCCAGCUGCUGUAGACACAGAUCCAGGAAGUGUGAAUCAUUAAUGAGUGUCAUUUUGGUGCUAGAAAGAGCUAUUACCUGAGGGCAGUGACUCAAGCUGGGCCUCCGAGGGCAAACAGCCUUGCUCCUCCAAGUUACUGGCCCAUGCUGUGCACACGCGUGUCUUCAGUUGCUAUCCCCACAGGUUCAGAAUUACCUAGGUGACCACCUCCCCAGGGAUUGGUCCUAAAGUUUUUUUUUCCUUUGAGACAGGGUCUUGCUCCGUCUCCCAGGCUGGAGUGCAAUGGUGUGAUCCAGGCUCAUCACAACC